Molecule: ribosomal RNA, 546 nt
Filed under: Projasus bahamondei
Lineage: Eukaryota; Metazoa; Arthropoda; Malacostraca; Decapoda; Palinuridae
Description: partial 16S ribosomal RNA
Rfam family: Bacterial large subunit ribosomal RNA
Source: RNAcentral
AAACAUGUCUCUGUGGUAAUUUUUAUAGAGUCUAUCCUGCCCACUGACGUUGAGUUAAAGGGCCGCGGUAUAGUGACCGUGCGAAGGUAGCAUAAUGAUUUGUUCUUUAAUUGGGGACUGGUAUGAAUGGUUGAACGAAAGGCAGACUGUCUCUUAUGCAUAUAUUGAAUUUAACAUUUGAGUGAAAAGGCUCAAAUAGCUCAGGGGGACGAUAAGACCCUAUAAAUCUUUAUUCUAUUAGUGAAUAACAUUGAAAAUUAUAAUUUAUAAUUCUAUGUUAUUUAACUUUGGUAUUUGGUUGGGGCGACAGGAGUAUAAAUAAAUAACUGCUCUAAAUGUUUAGUUAGUUGUAGCUAAAUUGUUAAUAAGUGAUCCUUUAUUAUGGAUUAUAGAUUAAGUUACUUUAGGGAUAACAGCGUAAUCUCGCCUGAGAGUUCAUAUCGAAGGCGGGGCUUGCGACCUCGAUGUUGAAUUAAAGGUCCUCUACGGUGCAGGAGCUGUGGUAGGAGGUCUGUUCGACCUUUAAAUCUUUACGUGAUCUGAGUU